GACGAACGCUGGCGGCGUGCUUAACACAUGCAAGUCGAACGGAAAGGCCCUGCUUUUGUGGGGUGCUCGAGUGGCGAACGGGUGAGUAACACGUGAGUAACCUGCCCUUGACUUUGGGAUAACUUCAGGAAACUGGGGCUAAUACCGGAUAGGAGCUCCUGCUGCAUGGUGGGGGUUGGAAAGUUUCGGCGGUUGGGGAUGGACUCGCGGCUUAUCAGCUUGUUGGUGGGGUAGUGGCUUACCAAGGCUUUGACGGGUAGCCGGCCUGAGAGGGUGACCGGCCACAUUGGGACUGGGAUACGGCCCAGACUCCUACGGGAGGCAGCAGUGGGGAAGAUUGCACAAUGGGCGGAAGCCUGAUGCAGCAACGCCGCGUGCGGGAUGACGGCCUUCGGGGUGUAAACCGCUUUCGCCUGUGACGAAGCGUGAGUGACGGUAAUGGGUAAAGAAGCACCGGCUAACUACGUG
This 468-nucleotide ribosomal RNA is filed under the name uncultured bacterium. RNAcentral's name for it is "partial 16S ribosomal RNA". It matches the Rfam family "Bacterial small subunit ribosomal RNA", at positions 28 to 507 of the family's 1533-position model. The record is from RNAcentral.